RNAcentral lists this long non-coding RNA (1553 nucleotides) under Coffea arabica (coffee). Its description in RNAcentral is "long non-coding RNA (CARA_LNC001461)". The record is from RNAcentral. Lineage: Eukaryota; Viridiplantae; Streptophyta; Magnoliopsida; Gentianales; Rubiaceae.
UUGUUACAAGUUCUUUGAAAUUGUGAAAGCUAGCUCUCAUUAUACAUGUCAUUUCCUUUACUCGCACUAGAUAUGAAUUGCAGGUUUUACUGCGGAUGGAGAUUUUUCGGUCAGAUAUUUCAGUGAAUAAGGAGCAGCCAUUAAAGCAGAAGCUUUUGAAGCAGAUUUGCUCCCUUUUAGACAUCAUUCAGUAUCUCAUCGAUGGAGGCAUCCAUGGUAAUGUUAGCCUGUAUGAAUAUGUUGAGCGUACCAUCAAAAUGAGGUAAUAACUCAAUAAAGGACUCAAAGCUAGUAACAUCAAAUAUGGUAGCUCAUCUGGAAAGCAAUUGAUUUAAAAUUGGAAAAUGUGAAUAGGGAGAUCCGAAAAUUCAUAAGAAGGGUAUAAGUUUUAGGAAAUUUGUAGAUGAGGUGUGGGUAACCGAGCACAAUUUAUAAGAAAAUUAAUAUUGCAGGCAAAAUCAUGAAAUUACCCUUAUGUGCAAAUACUAGCACUGGAUGGGCACAUAUUUCAUAUGUGCACAUUUGAGUAUACAUAUGUGUGCAUGUAUUGAUUUUGACAUGUGCACAUUCUGAUAUAUGUACACAUUCGCCAAAGUGCAAAAUUUUAGUCAUUAAGGUGGACAUUGUUAAGAUUUUUUCCCCACAUUGUUAAGAAUUAACAAAGGGUGAUUCAGUCAACUAGAAAUAAAUUUAUUUGAACAGUAACUCAUAUCCCGAUCACAAAUAAACGAAAAUUUUCACCCAACGUAUGAAUUGUAAAUCUUCUUAUUCCCAUCUUUCAAAUUUUCCCUUAGUCUUAUGUUCUACUGAGCCUAGCAGAGUAUUACUUUCACUUCAUUAUCUCAGUUGCAUCUAAUUAAGUAUCCGUCUUUUGCCUCCCUUUAGUAAAUUAGCAGUAAAUCUAAAAGCUAUAUCAACUCGAUGAUCAUGGACUUCAUGCCUUGUGCUGAGAGCAUUGUAUUCUACCUGCACAUUGUUGUUUCCAGCUUCAUUAGCCAUGCUAUUAUCCUUAAAGCAAGAUAUCUAUAUAAUUUCGGAGCUGAUUUUCCUUGUUUAGCAACAUAUGAUGUUCAAGAGACAACUAUUGAAGACCAUUUAUGUGGUUUUACUAGAUGCAGGCUGGCACAUGUGCCUCUGCUUAUAUUGUUCAAGCAUGAAUCUGGUUAUAUCUUUUUGGAUCUAAAAUGAGUAUAUCUUCUCGCACAGUAGAACUCCUCUCUUUUGCCCCUUCACUGCCAUAUUUACGUGUCAGAGAUUAACGUGUUGAGAAGCAGCAAUUUUGCAAGCUAAUACAUGAUGCCUGUACUUUUCAGAUAUUGUAACGUACUCGACGAUAUUGUGAAGGAUCUCUACACUCAAAUGGAUUUGUUGCCCUUCGGUGACGAGGAUGAGACCCAAGCUCUUCUCUUCAACAGUGAGGAUAGUGGUCAAUCUUGGAGGGAUAACAAAGACACGUAUGAGAAGGCUGAAAGUCACAACGUAUAUCAAUCAAUCUCGGUAGAGGAGGAGACGUACCAGCAACAGGAGAAUGUUGAUGAGAGUCCUGAAGGAAU